Molecule: long non-coding RNA, 2829 nt
Organism: Hippocampus zosterae (dwarf seahorse)
Lineage: Eukaryota; Metazoa; Chordata; Actinopteri; Syngnathiformes; Syngnathidae
Exons: 15
Source: RefSeq, a predicted model, not a curated record
CCAGUGUACUAGAGCUAAUGGUAAUAGCACUGCUAGAUGACAGUGCUACCUUUUCAAUAUUACCAUUGUUAAUACUAUUGCUAACAGUACUGCGCCUCGCAGUUGUCCUCUUAUGUUACCACAGCGAAUGCUACUGUUAAGAGUACUACAGCACAGUGCCAGCCCUCCUUUUUCAUCAUGAUCAGACCCUUAUGCAAACUAAUGCUAAAUACUGGAGUGCUACAGUGGAGUGAGAGUAGCCUUCCAGAGAUCAGUGUUUGCAUUGUGCCGCCACUGAUGUGUGUGUGUGUGUGUGCGUGUGUGCGUGCGUGCGUGCGUGCGUAUGUGUGUGUGUGUGUGUGUACGUGCGUCCGCGCGUGCGUGCGUGUGUGUGUGUGUGUGUGUGUGUGUGUGUGUGUGUGUGUGUGUGUGUGUGUGUGUGUGUGUGUGUGUGUGUGUGUGUGUGUGUGUGUGUGUGUGUGUGUGUGUGUGUGUGUGUGUGUGUGUGUGUGUGUGUGUGUGUGUGUGUGUGUGUGUGUGUGUGUGUGUGUGUGCGUUUGUAUUCAUGACAUCUCAGGACAAUUUUAUGAUAACACACCUUCACAAUGAGGACCUGUGGAAAAAUGAGGACAUUUUUCGCGUCCUCAUAUUUCCACGCAGUCUACACUACUCUAGAGCUCACGAGGAUACUCCCACACCAAAAAUAAGUGAUGUCCUGAAAGAGCACAAUUUUCAGAAAUUGUGUGUUUAAGUGUGUUUAACUUUGGACUCACUUUUCAUUUGGAAAACUAGUGGCCAACUUCGGUACUUAACACACUUUUAACACACUUUCAGUGACGUCAUUGUGCAGGACCUCAAAUGUCAUCUUUUUCGGACUGACUCACACAUUUUCCCCGCCCUCGUCCUGAUAAGUCACAUCAAUUAGCAGUCACACAAAAUCCAACAUGUGAAGCAGCCAGACAAUCCUACUCUCAAACACGACCACGCGUGGAUGACCAUCGGGUAAGCAAUUCCUUUUCGUUUAUCUUACCGUAACAUAGAAGUUGUUCAAUAUAACCGUGUUUAACAGUGCCCACCAAAGGUAAUAUCAUUCAAUAAGACAGCUAGCUAGCUAGCUAGCUCGAUCGUUAGCAUGCUAAUAAGCUUCCAGUAAAAGUAAUGUGGACAUGUCCUGCAGGCAAGGUUCUGGAAAACCUUUCUAAAUCUUUAACAACACAGUCUGUGGAACUUGGUUUUGGUGCCAUAUGUUUAUUUCAGUGCAGUAUUUGUUUUAUUUGAUUGCAGUUAAUUUAAAUUAGUUAGUACAGGUAGCAUAAUGAAAGUGGGCCAGGCACUUCUAGCAUUUACGCUAAGCCCGGUGUAUUUACACUGUUUAUUCUUGUGCUGAAUCAAUUGUACACCGUUUCAAUGAAAAAACAAACAAACGUUUGCAAUGAAAUUAUAGCAGAAUUCAGCUUUGUUGGUACAUUUGGUCAAGACAAUAUUGUGUUACUCUAUUUUAAUUUUACAUUGUUAUCUGCCUGACAAAUGGUUUGCCCGAAUCUAUUAGUCUGACCAGCAAAUGUUUGAUGAAAUGAAUUUUUGUAUUUUUGAGGAAGAAAAUAAUAUUCCUUUGGCUCAGUACUUUUUGAGCCAAAAUAAGUGCUGCCAUAAUAUUGUGCUUGCUUGUCUGGCUGACUUCUUCUCACUUUCCAUUGUAGAUGUUUACUGGUGGUGAUAAUGUCACAAAGAAGAACCAGACUGAGCCCUGAAUCUGAGGCUGCUCCUUUUAGCUGGAGUCAACAAGCCUUGUUUGAAAGCCCAGUGGAUCAAUGAUUAUAAAGACACCAAGUGACGGGAUCUUGACUGUACCUUCUGGAGACCAAGAAGGGAGUGAGAGAUCCACUUCAUCCUUACAACAGACACCAAGUGACCUGACUGAACCCUCUGGAGACCAUGAAAGGAAUGAUAGAUACACUUCAUCCUUACAACAGACAUUAAGUGUUCCGAUCCUGAUGAAACCUUCUGAAGAUCAAGAAAGGAGUGGAAGAUCCACUUCUUCCUUAAACAGACACCAAAUGACAGGUACCUGACUGAACCCUCUGGAGACCAAGAAUGGAGUGAGAGAUCCACUACAUCCUUACAACAGACACCAAAUGACAGGUACCUGACUGAACCCUCUGGAGACCAAGAAUGGAGUGAGAGAUCCACUACAUCCUUACAACAGACAUCAAGUGACAGGUACCUGACUGAACCCUCUGGAAACCAAGAAUGGAGUGAGAGAUCCACUUCAUCCUUACAACAGACACCAAGUGACCUGACUGAACCCUCUGGAGACCAUGAAUGGAGUGAGAGAUCCACUUCAUUCUUACAACAGACACCAAGUGACCUGACUGAACCCUCUGGAGACCAUGAAAGGAAUGAUAGAUACACUUCAUCCUUACAACAGACAUGAAGUGUUCCGAUCCUGAUGAAACCUUCUGAAGAUCAAGAAAGGAGUGGAAGAUCCACUUCUUCCUUAAACAGACACCAAAUGACAGGUACCUGACUGAACCCUCUGGAGACCAAGAAUGGAGUGAGAGAUCCACUACAUCCUUACAACAGACACCAAGUGACCUGACUGAACCCUCUGGAGACCAUGAAAGGAAUGAUAGAUACACUUCAUCCUUACAACAGACAUGAAGUGUUCCGAUCCUGAUGAAACCUUCUGAAGAUCAAGAAAGGAGUGGAAGAUCCACUUCUUCCUUAAACAGACACCAAAUGACAGGUACCUGACUGAACCCUCUGGAGACCAAGAAUGGAGUGAGAGAUCCACUACAUCCUUACAACAGACACCAAGUGACCUGACUGAACCCUCUGGAGACCAUGAAA